RNAcentral lists this ribosomal RNA (465 nucleotides) under uncultured bacterium. RNAcentral's name for it is "partial 16S ribosomal RNA". It matches the Rfam family "Bacterial small subunit ribosomal RNA", at positions 338 to 795 of the family's 1533-position model. The record is from RNAcentral.
CCUACGGGUGGCAGCAGUGGGGAAUAUUGCUCAAUGGGCGAAAGCCUGACGCAGCCAUGCCGCGUGCAGGAUGAAGGCCUUCGGAUUGUAAAGCUCUUUCAGCAGGGAGGAACGGAGUCUUGUCUAUACAUCUGUGCAUUGACGGUACCUGCAAAGGAAGCACCGGCUAACUCCGUGCCAGCAGCCGCGGUAAUACGGAGGGUGCAAGCGUUAAUCGGAAUUACUGGGCGUAAAGCGCACGCAGGCGGUUUGUUAAGUCAGAUGUGAAAUCCCCGGGCUCAACCUGGGAACUGCAGCUGAGACUGGCAAGCUUGAGUCUGGGAGAGGGGGGUGGAAUUCCAGGUGUAGGGGUGAAAUGCGUAGAGAUCUGGAGGAACAUCAGUGGCGAAGGCGGCUCCCUGGACGAAAACUGACGCUGAGGAGCGAAAGCGUGGGGAGCAAACAGGAUUAGAUACCCUAGUAGUC